Molecule: ribosomal RNA, 253 nt
Filed under: uncultured bacterium
Lineage: Bacteria
Description: partial 16S ribosomal RNA
Rfam family: Bacterial small subunit ribosomal RNA
Source: RNAcentral
UACGUAGGGGGCAAGCGUUGUCCGGAUUCACUGGGCGUAAAGGGUGCGUAGGCGGUCGGGUAAGUCUGACGUGAAAUCUCCAAGCCUAACUUGGAAACUGCGUUGGAUACUAUCCGGCUCGAGGAAUGGAGGGGAGACUGGAAUACUUGGUGUAGCAGUGAAAUGCGUAGAUAUCAAGUGGAACACCAGUGGCGAAGGCGAGUCUCUGGACAUUUCCUGACGCUGAGGCACGAAAGCCAGGGGAGCAAACGGG